This 452-nucleotide ribosomal RNA is filed under the name Bacillus sp. oral taxon F28. RNAcentral describes it as "bacterial SSU rRNA". It matches the Rfam family "Bacterial small subunit ribosomal RNA", at positions 28 to 452 of the family's 1533-position model. Lineage: Bacteria; Bacillati; Bacillota; Bacilli; Caryophanales; Bacillaceae. The record is from RNAcentral.
GACGAACGCUGGCGGCGUGCCUAAUACAUGCAAGUCGAGCGCGGGAAGCUUGCGGAAUCCUUCGGGAGGAAGUGAGCGGACCGAGCGGCGGACGGGUGAGUAACACGUGGGCAACCUGCCCGUAAGACGGGGAUAACCCCGGGAAACCGGGGCUAAUACCGGAUAGGUGACCUUUCUGCAUGGAGGGGUCAUGAAAGGCGGCGGAAGCCGUCGCUUACGGAGGGGCCCGCGGCGCAUUAGCUAGUUGGUGAGGGAAGGGCUCACCAAGGCGACGAUGCGUAGCCGGCCUGAGAGGGUGAACGGCCAUACUGGGACUGAGACACGGCCCAGACUCCUACGGGAGGCAGCAGUAGGGAAUCUUCCGCAAUGGACGGAAGUCUGACGGAGCAACGCCGCGUGAGUGAGGAAGGCCUUUCGGGUCGUAAAAGCUUCUGUUGUUUCGUGAAGAAAGG